This 465-nucleotide ribosomal RNA is filed under the name Vreelandella stevensii. RNAcentral describes it as "partial 16S ribosomal RNA". It matches the Rfam family "Bacterial small subunit ribosomal RNA", at positions 338 to 795 of the family's 1533-position model. Lineage: Bacteria; Pseudomonadati; Pseudomonadota; Gammaproteobacteria; Oceanospirillales; Halomonadaceae. The record is from RNAcentral.
CCUACGGGAGGCUGCAGUGGGGAAUAUUGGACAAUGGGCGAAAGCCUGAUCCAGCCAUGCCGCGUGUGUGAAGAAGGCCUUCGGGUUGUAAAGCACUUUCAGUGGGGAAGAAAGCCUUGGGGCUAAUACCCUCGAGGAAGGACAUCACCCACAGAAGAAGCACCGGCUAACUCCGUGCCAGCAGCCGCGGUAAUACGGAGGGUGCGAGCGUUAAUCGGAAUUACUGGGCGUAAAGCGCGCGUAGGCGGUCUGAUAAGCCGGUUGUGAAAGCCCCGGGCUCAACCUGGGAACGGCAUCCGGAACUGUCAGGCUAGAGUGCAGGAGAGGAAGGUAGAAUUCCCGGUGUAGCGGUGAAAUGCGUAGAGAUCGGGAGGAAUACCAGUGGCGAAGUCGGCCUUCUGGACUGACACUGACGCUGAGGUGCGAAAGCGUGGGUAGCAAACAGGAUUAGAUACCCCAGUAGUC